Molecule: transfer RNA, 59 nt
Filed under: Nectoneanthes multignatha
Lineage: Eukaryota; Metazoa; Annelida; Polychaeta; Phyllodocida; Nereididae
Description: tRNA-Arg
Source: RNAcentral
UUGAGACGUCAAAACUCCGAUUUCGGCUCGGACAAAGGCACUGAUAAGCCCGUCUUAAU